This 494-nucleotide ribosomal RNA is filed under the name uncultured bacterium. RNAcentral's name for it is "partial 16S ribosomal RNA". It matches the Rfam family "Bacterial small subunit ribosomal RNA", at positions 28 to 507 of the family's 1533-position model. The record is from RNAcentral.
GACGAACGCUGGCGGCGUGCUUAACACAUGCAAGUCGAACGGAAAGGCCUGCUUUCCCUUGUGGAUUGCGGGUACUCGAGUGGCGAACGGGUGAGUAACACGUGAGUGAUCUGCCCCCAACUUGGGUAUAAGCCUGGGAAACUGGGUCUAAUUCCCGAUAGGACUGCAGGGUGGUGCCUGUGGUGGAAAACGAUUUUCUAGUGGUUGGGGAUGAGCUCGCGGCCUAUCAGCUUGUUGGUGGGGUAAUGGCCUACCAAGGCGGCGACGGGUAGCCGGCCUGAGAGGGUGGACGGCCACAUUGGGACUGAGAUACGGCCCAGACUCCUACGGGAGGCAGCAGGGGGGAAUAUUGCACAAUGGGCGGAAGCCUGAUGCAGCGACGCAGCGUGGGGGAUGACGGCCUUCGGGUGGUAAGCUCCUUUCGACCGCGAGGAAGCCACCUGGUUGGAAGGGUGGUGACGGUAGUGGUAGAAGAAGCACCGGCUAACUACGUG